ACCGAUUUGGUCCUAGUCCUUUUCUUGGUCCCCUCUAAAACGAUACAUGCAAGUCAAUCGCAACACAGUGAGUAAUAGUCUACGACUAUUCUUAAAAGAAAUGGCCGUUCAAAACGAGGUAUCAGAAAAUCCGUUUAAUUCAACGACACCUAGACACCCACAUCUGCAGUACCUAGCAUUAUACAAUAAGCAAAAGCUUGAUAUAGUUAUAGACUUAAGAGUUGGUUAAUUAUGUGCCAGCCACCGCGGUUAUACAUAAAACUCAAACCAAGAACAUUAUCGGUCUAAAGGUGACUAGAGACAACUUUAUUUAGGGUAGAAAAAAACUCCAGUAUUAACAAGCUUCUACAGUUAACUAAUAACAACUACAAUAUUACCCCAAACCACCCAACUCAAGGCACCAAAGCUCAAAAAUAAACUGGGAUUAGAUACCCCACUAUAUGAGCCGUAAAAAAUCAAUAACACCCAGAGAA
Molecule: ribosomal RNA, 473 nt
Filed under: Astropecten comptus
Lineage: Eukaryota; Metazoa; Echinodermata; Asteroidea; Paxillosida; Astropectinidae
Description: partial 12S ribosomal RNA
Source: RNAcentral